AGAACAGCACAGGAAAGACCAGCCCCCAUGAUUCAAUUACCUCCCACAACAUGUGGGAAUUCAAGAUUAGAUUUGGGGGGAUACAGCAAAACCAUAUAAAGGGAAGGAAGAGUGAGCAGGGCCUGUUGUCUUAUGCCAUAAAAUUCAUUCAGUUAUUUACUUCUAAACUUUGGAUAUGCAUUACUUUUAUUAAAAACCUCAAAGUCCUUGGUAUUUGGAAUCAGAAUUCUGGGUUCAUUCUCGGUUCUGUCACUUCUGUGAGAGGGUUUGACCUCACAGCUUCAUUUUUCUUAUUUGUAAAAUGGAGACUGUAUCACUGGCUAAGUAAGCGGAUCGUGAAGAUCAGAAAGACUAAAUGUCCAAUGAUGAGCACAUCAGCUGGAAAAUGGGUAAAUGCUUUAAAUCACUAUGAAGAAAAUCUGUGUGGCAGAAUGGGAGAUGCACAUGUGGGCAUUGUCAGGGGACAGCCCCUGUGUUAGGCUCUGCUUAGCCCCUCAGACUACCUGUGAGACCCUGGACAAGUUCUUCAACCUCUUUACUACUCAUUGUAUUCCCCUGUCGAAGGAGGAUAUGAAACAAUCCUCAUCUUACAAUUAUUGCAGGGAGUAAAAUAGAAAGCAAACUCCCGUACCCGGGUACCCAGUACAGGUUAAGUGCCUAAUCAAUGAUGGCUAGUUGUGUUGUAUUAUUGAUGAAAUUAUAUUGACAUUAUAACAAUAUAUCUUAAUAUAAAAAUUGUAGGUUAGUUUUAUUGUUGCUAUUCAGUUUCAAAAUUAUGUUAAUGAAUAUUUGAUGACCUGAGAAAGCUUUAGUAAAUAAUGGUAAUAAAAAAAGAAGCAGUAUUAAAUGAUAGUACCCAGCCUUCAAUCACUGUCUAUUCAGGGAGGGAGGGAGGGAGGGACGGAAGAAAGAAAGAAAGAAGGAAGGAAGGAAGGAAGGAAGGAAGGAAGGAAGGGCUCUUGUUUUAGUAAGUGAGUACAUAUAAAUAAAAACAACAAGGAAAGUAGAGCAAAUGUUAGCACUGCUUGUCCCUGGAGGGUCAUCUACAGGUGAUUUUCUUUUAUUUUUCCUUUGUGCCUUCUGUAGCUUCCAAAUUUGUGUAAAUGAAUCUCUAUUGCCUUUGUCAUCAGAUAAGAGCACAAAAAAUGAUAUCUGAAAUCACAGGUUUGGAAUAGAGAAAAUAAUUUUUCAUAUUUUACCUUGUAAUCAUAUUUCUGGCUUAGGGGUAUCUAAAAUCCAUUUCACAUAACAAUAAUCAACCACAAAAUGAUUCUUCUUAGCAAUUAUUGUACUUUUCUAUGAUUGGGUAAAUUUUCUGCAGACACUCUCUGCAUCAGAUAAACAUUGAGUUCCACUGCAUGUAAAUAGUAGUGAUUUAAAUAAAAUAUGUGUUUAAUUUCCUCACAUGUGACACACAACUUAGAAGUAGGCAAGGUGGGCUGGAGAAGAGCUCCACAAUGUCAUCAAUGCCAUCUUUCUGCUUGGUCAUCCUAGAUGCAUGGCUUCCACCCUCAAGGUUGUCUCAUGGUUUCAAGGUGGCUGCUGCAGCUCCCAUCAUUUCUUCCUCAUUCCAGGUGAAGAGAAGUUUUGAGGGAUCUUUGGGGUAUCACUUUUCUGGCUGGAAAUCUCUGUGGCUGGUGGCACCUUUGCCCAAGUUUUGCUUGGGCCUGCUGGGUUCAUUUUUCCCACUUGUCCUGGCAGGCUGUGCUUGGCUCACACUACCAGCCUAGAUCCCAUGCCUGCCAAAGGCAGCAAGGCAUGGAGUGGCAAGGGGUGUGUGAGUGAACCAGCGAGGGGUCCAGCCACCGUGCACAGUCAGGCACACCAGCUGCUGCAAUGGGGUGGGCAGCUCCAGGUGCCGGCGUGGGCACCGACUCUCUGCGAGGCUGUGGCUAGACCAGGUGCACCACAGGUAGCUUCCAUGGCUGCCACUGGGGAAUGCGGUGGCACACGGAAGCUUGGAGAAUCCAGGAACCACUGGGCCCCAAAGAGGAAGUCACAGCCUUGGCUCAGGGAGCUCCCAGGUCUGGGCUUACUGAAGGGCUGAAGCUCUUCUCUUCUCUUCAACCACAACAUGGCGAGCAAGGGGUAUGUUUCAGCCCUGUUUGUGUUAUAGCUCUUUCAGCCUGCCUUCCGCAGGUCCCAAGUUCUUAUCCUGCGUCCAAGAAGAAUGAAGCACGCAGACAAGUGGAGGGUAAGCAAGGUGAAGAGGAGCUUUAUUGAGUGACACAGUAGCUCAGAGGAGGCCCAGGAGUGGGUAGCUCCUCUCUGCAGCUGGUCAUCCUGAUGUCUGCUCAGCUUUGGCUGAACCUGGGGCUUGUAUGGGCUUCAGAGGGGAGGAAGUGUAUGCCAGUUGGUCCAUGGAUGGCCAUGAAUGGCCUGGAAAAGGCACCACAAGUUCCCACUCUGGUCCGUGGGACCGGCAGCUGGGCCCCCAGCCUACAGAUCCUCCCUCCCUGAAGGAGGGCCUGAAGGUGGUGCCUCACUGGGGAUCUGCCCCCUUCCACCCAGGAACCUCUCUGCCUCCUGCUGCCAUUCAUGGCGCCCAGGCUGUAGGUGCCAAGAGGCACCUGCAGGCCAGCCAUAAGCUGCCUUCAGCACCCCUUUGGCUUCCCUCCUAUGCUUAUUGGUGUCCAAAGUCCAGAGGGGGCUGAGGCAGUGGGGGGCUGGCAUGUCAGCACCGCCCAAAGUGUGUGCACACCUGGCGAAGCUGUGACUUGGCCCUGACUUUGCUCUGAGAUCGGAGCAGGCACCAACAGCAGGGAGAAGCCAGGCAGUGGGAGCAGGCAUUUCUGAGCCUGCAAGGGCAUGGGGGCCUUCCUGGACCCCCAAGAGUGCAGAGAUUCCUGAGUCUGCAGCUGUGGUUUGGGAGGCUGUAGCUGUGGCCACAGGGGUGGGGCUCCUGCCUGCUCCAUGGAGUAGAAGGCCUGGUUCCACAGUCACAACUUGGGCAGCUGUGGCUGCACCAGGGAAGCUCCUUCCCCACCAAUCUGGAAGGUGCAGGGCUCCCACUUGUCCCUGGCUCCCACCAGCUCCAUGGAGUAUGCCUCCUUGCUGCAGCCAGCAUGAUGGCAGCAGCCACUCUAGACAGGCUGCUGCUGCCAUCAGAUGGAGAAAGCAAUAGAGCAAAGUGUAAUAGCUAUGUCAGUUCCCUUUUUUUUUUCAAUUUUAUUAUUAUUAUACUUUAAGUUUUAGGGUACAUGUGCACAACAUGCAGGUUUGUUACAUAUGUAUACAUGUGCCAUGUUGGUGUGCUGCACCCACUAACUCGUCAUUUAGCAUUAGGUAUAUCUCCUAAUGCUAUCCCUGCCCCAUCCCCCCACCCCACAAUGGUCCCUGGUGUGUGAUGUUCCCCUUCCUGUGUCCAUGUGUUCUCAUUGUUCAAUUCCCACCUAUGAGUGAGAACAUGCGGUGUUUGGUUUUUUGUCCUUGCGAUAGUUUGCUGAGAAUGAUGGUUUCCAGUUUCAUCCAUGUCCCUACAAAGGACAUGAACUCAUCAUUUUUUUAUGGCUGCAUAGUAUUCCAUGGUGUAUAUGUGCCACGUUUCCUUAAUCCAGUCUAUCGUUGUUGGACAUUUAGGUUGGUUCCAAGUCUUUGCUAUUGUGAACAGUGCCGCAGUAAACAUACGUAUGCAUGUGCCUUUAUAGCAGCAUGAUUUAUAGUCCUUUGGGUAUAUACCCAGUAAUGGGAUGGCUGGGUCAAAUGGUAUGUCUAGUUCUAGAUCCCCGAGGAAUUGCCACACUCACUUCCACAAUGGUUGAACUAGUUUACAGUCCCACCAACAGUGUAAAAGUGUUCCUGUUUCUCCACAUCCUCUCCAGCACCUGUUGUUUCCUGACUUUUUAAUGAUUGCCAUUCUAACUGGUGUGAGAUGGUAUCUCAUUGUGGUUUUGAUUUGCAUUUCUCUGAUGGCCAGUGAUGGUGAGCAUUUUUUCAUGUGUUUUGUGGCUGCAUAAAUGUCUUCUUUUCCCUUUUAAGAGCUUUUCCAGAAGCCCCACUUAGUGACAUCUUCUUGCAAAUCAUUUCCCAAUUCUCCUCUCUUCCUCAUCCCUGCAGCACCUUACCUCCUGUUGGACUAGAAAAUGGAUUUUUAUUUGUAAUGGUUUUUUUUGCCAAUUUUGUUAUUUGUGGUAUAAUCUUUAUACUAAAUCUUUAUACAGAACUGAGUCCCAUGACCACCCCAACUUGCAAGGGAUGAUAAGAAAGGUCAUUUUAAAUUGGGACUCUCUAGUAUGAUAGAAAGGGAGAAAGGGUUUGGGUAGGUAACUCGUCUCUGCCAAAUUCCCAUGUGGCCAGUAGGGAACCAGAGAUGGUCCAGCCUCUUCUCUUGCAGGGAGAGGAAGCUCCUGUCUUCUGCAUAGAUUCCUGCUUCCUCCUGAUAACUCUGUGUUUUGAGUAAUGAAUAAUAAUAUCAGAAGCAAACAUUACCUGUUACUGUUCUCAUUUUUAUAUCUGAGGAAACUGGGCUCAGAUGAGUAAUUCCCUCAGAGUCACCAGCUUAGCAAAUUCCAGAGUCAGGCUUCUAACUCAUCUGUCUGACUCGGAAGCCUGUGUUCUUUCUAACACACCAUACUGACUUCCCUGGCCUGAAAGUGGAAUCAUUAUCUAUUUAUUCUUUCAACCAUUUCUGUGUGUCAUUUAUUUAUGGGCAUCUAGUAGAUAUUCAGUAAAUGUUUGUUCAAUGGAUGAAUGAAUGAAUGAGCGAAUGUCUCCUGGAGAGGAGCUCACUAUCUACAUGGGGACACAGAUCCCAUACAGGGCCAUCUAUAGGUGUUGUGAAGCAUUGUGGAAGGAAGCCCCCUUUCUGGGAGUGCCUCAGGUAAACUACACGAAGAAUAGAACGUUGCACCUGAGCCUGGAGGGCCGAGCAGCAGGCUGUGUCAGUGAAGGGUGUUGGAAGCAGAAGGAACAGCAUGUGCUCAGGCUUGAGGUGCAGUGCCAGUGCUGUAGGGAUUUUACUGUGGCUGGAGAGACAGGAGUGAGGAGGCUCUGAAGCUAAGGGAGCCAGGGUGGGCAGGGCUGGUGCUGGGGGCUGCAGGGCUGGAUCUGUAUGUCCUUGGGAGGAACAGGUUGAGAAACCGAGUUUUGAUCUGUGGGUCCCAAUCCUGAGCAUCCAACGGUGGUCACUCACUCCAUGUUUUCCCCACAGUAUUGGUAACUCCUCACCCCCUCUCUUCUCUGUUUAGUUCUCUGUGAUUCUAUUUUUGGAGUUUACAAAGUGAACAUCCAGUGUGAUAUGCGGAGAACUCUGGUGAUUUGUCCUGAAGCUGUUUCAUUUUUUUUGAAUUAUGGGAGUCUACUCUUCCCUCUUGGGGACCUGGGAGGAUUGAACAGCCAAGGGCUUCCCACGGAGUCACUCUCAGCUCUCUGACUCCUGCACUGAUUGUGUUGCACUUGUUUUGAAGGCUAAUGAGUAUGGGAGGUACCCAAACUUUCCACAGAAUUGCACCUCUUGUGUGCGUGCAUGUGUGUGGGGGGUAGCAUGAGACGGAUAAUCAAAUUAUUUCCAGAGAAAAUAAAUUUGAAUCUCAGAGGGCUCUGUGAAAGCAGGGACCAAUCAAUUCCUUCUGCUGUUGAUCCACUAUUUGACAACUUGCAGAUAAAGGUUGUGAAAACAGAAUUUUCUCUCUUUUUUUUUUUUUCCAUAACAACUUCAUUUCCAUUUCUAGCCAACAUUCAUUUUGCAAAAAGCCUUAGGUUGUGGCCAGGUAAGCCCUGUCAAAUUCAGUGAUUUCCUAGUUAAUUUUAGUUUAAACUCAGGUGACCGCAGGGUGUCUCCCUCCCUCUUCUCUCAUAGAUUUCAGUUUUCAUGUGGCAAGUGGGUGUCUGGUGCCCAGUUCCACCGCGUGAGCACCUGGAGGUGCACAAUUUGCCGACCUGAUGUUCUGAGGUCGAUCUCCUGUCCACUGGUCACGAGGGUGCCCACACUGUCACCUGUGCUUGGGUCUCCUCAUGAUGGCCCUGGAGCCCUCGGGCUUAGCUGAGACCUGAGGCCUGAGGCCUGCACCCCUUUCUGGGCACAAGAAAUGUGCUAUGCAGGGGUGGUGGAUGCUGUGAGAGUGUCCUGCCCAGAUGCCCCUCGCAGCCCUGGUGCCAACCCCACAGGGGCUGGAACUGCAAUUAAUAAGCAGGUACCAUUUCCCUCUCCGGUUCCCCUGACCUCUUACCUACCUGGGGUUUCUAUAAUAUUCCCUAUUAUCCCCCACCCCUAUGGUUCUUCCUGGAGGGAUUUGGUGUGGAACUCCUUCUGGAACACACUCCCAUCAGCCCCUUUCCCGAUUCUCCUCUCUUCCUCGUCCCCCUGGCACCUUACCUCCUGUUGGGCUAGGAAACUGGUUUUUAUUUGUAAUGUAUUUUUGCCAAUUUUGUUAUUUGUGGUAUACUCUGUAUACUAAGAACCUCUCCCCACCAACUCCUAGGUGUGUGAAACACUUCGAACCCUGCAGGCUAGCCUCUUGCCGUUGAAUGCUUUGGGCUUCAAAAUUGUGUCUUCUAUGGAUUUCAAGAGCUUAUUUUGGAAGUCAGUGGCUGAGAAUUUAACCCUGAUCUUCACUGUGUCAUUAAGAAGGGAAGAGUGUGUUUAUGGAGUGCUCCUGCCGGCUUGGGGUGGAUGGUGAUGGUACAAUGUGGGUAGGGAUGGGAGAGACUUUGGUUAGACCAGGAUUGUAUCCUGUUCCAGGUCAGGGAACCAAGAGAGCUUCUGGCAGUACCUGGUAGGGACUCCAGAGAUUGGGUUAAUUGAGUGGAUGUCUGAAAAAUGAGAACUUACCUGCAAGUUUGUCCCAAACAUAGAUGAGUUACCUCGGACUGAGCAGUGCAAUCGUUGGAGCCUCUGUUUGCGUAAUAGUAAGUCAGAAAAAUACAGAAUUCUGCUCUGCCCGCAUCACUUAACAGUGUGGGUGGAGGGGAGAAGUGUGGGAGGACUUGUUUACAUUGCAGGGCAGAGAAAAUCAUUGGUUACCGAUGCUGCUGAUCCUUUCAGUGGCCCUGGAACACCAAGGAAGGGCCUGGGAGAGCUGCUGUUGUUCCUAUGAGCCCAGCUGUGGGCACACUGCGCUGACACAAUGUCAUGGCCCUCAUGACGAGGAUGACUUGGAGGAGCCAAUCCUGACAACUGACCCUGUUGCCAGGGACUGUGAGUAGCACUUCAUGUGUAAUAACCGUGAAUGCCUCACAACAGCUCUGCAAGGUCGGGUCUACUAUUAUCAUCCCCAUUUUAUAGAUGGGGAAACUGAGGCACGAUCAUCAAAUACUGGGCACAGACUCUCCAGUGUGUAGGUGAUGGAGCCAGGCUUAGAACCUGGGCAGUCUACUCCAUGAACCUGCAUCCUCCUCAGAUGACAAGGAAAAGGAAAACAAGGCUCAGAGAUGAUAACUGACCUGCCCAGAGUCACCAAGCUGGCGAGAGGCACUGCGAGGCCUGGGAUGCCGAGUUUACAUUGGCAAACACACCCAUACACAUCAAAAACCUUGCUUCAAGCCAUGGUAGGAAGGUGGAGAGGCUGAGACACAAGGAUGUGAAGUCCUUCCUGCAUAUUCCAAACAUGUACGGAGGGAAAGGAAGCCACGUGCUUUCAAAGAAGCUUGGUUUCAACCUUUCUGAAUCAUCUUAUUCCAGCACUCGCUCUCUUCAAGUCUCUGCUCAAACAUCGUCUUUCACUGAGACCUGCCUGACCCCGUUCUUUGAAAUAACUGCUUCCGAGCUUCCCUCUCACUGUGUUCGUCACCACUGGACGCACUCCCUAUUGAUCUGAUGGGUGUUUAUUGUCUGCAGCCUGGCGCUGGACUGUCAGCUCCAUGGGAACAAAGACUUUGUGGGGCUUGAUCUCAGCUGUAUCCCCAGUGCCUAGAACAGUGCCUGGCACCUCCUAGGCAGUCAAUGAAUAGUUGUGGAAUGAAUGCAGAUGAGUGAAUCCGUGAAAUUGCUUCUCUUUUUUGCCUACCCUGAUUCCUCCCUUAAAAAGUCGUAUUCUUACAGAGCAAUGUUAUCACUAUAGUCACCUAACACUCUGCUGUCGGAAAAGGCCAGCGGCAGCUGGAAAAGCUAAAAUUAAAAUUUAAAAAUUCAUUAGCAUGGAUGAGUGUGCAAUGAUGGGGAAUGCUUAGACCCUGGUUGAGGGAGGGAGCCUAAAACCUAAAGGGCUUCUCUGAAAAGAAGCUCUGCCUCCCCACAAGCUUGCCAGCAGUAGAUGGUGUCCACGUUUUAGAAUUCUGGCGAUCUGAUGGGUGAGACAUUGUAUUUUAAGGCAGUUAAAAAAACUGUAUUGAGGUAUAAUUCAUAUAUAAUAAAUCGCACAUAGUUAAGAUAUACACUUUGGUGUGCUUUGAAAUAUGGAUAUGACUGUGAAACCAUCACCACAAUCAAGACAAUGAACAUCUCCAUCCUCCCCCAAAAUUUCCUUGUGGCCCUUGGUAAAUUCCUCCCUCUAGGGCACCCCCUUGCCCACACCCAGGUAACAGCUUACCUGCUCUAUCACUGUAGAUUCGUUUGCAUUUUAAAGCAUUUUAUAUAAAUGGAACCAAACAGCAUAUACUCUGACUUCUUUCACUGAACAUAAUUAUUUUGAGUUUCAUCCACAUGUCGCAUGUAUCAAUGGUUCAUUAUUUUAAUUGCAGAGCAGUAUGGAUGUACCAUACAUUGUUUACACAUUCACCUGUUGAUGGAAAUCUGGGUCGGUCUAGGUUGCAGCCAUUACAAAUAAACCUGCUGCAAACGUUUGUGUAUGUAUUUGUGUGAACAUAAACUUUCAUUGCUCUUGGAUAUAUAGCUGGUGGAAUGGCUAGAACAUAUGACAGGUGUAUACUAAGCAUUGUAAGAAUCUGUCAAACAGCUUUCCACAGUGUUUGCACCACGUUACAGUCCACUAGCCAUGGAGGGGAGUUCUGGUUCCUCCACAUUCUCACACACCUUGAGUGUGGUCAGUCUUUUAAAUUUUACUUAUGCUAAUAGUCAAGCAGCGAUUUCUCUUUGCAGUUUUAAUUUGGAUUCAUGUGUUUGUCUGCCAACCAUUUGUCUUCUUUGGUGGAGUGUCUGGUUAGAUCUUUUGGGUUGUUUAUUUUAUUAUAUUUGAGUUUUGAGAGUUCAUUGUAUGUUCUAGAUACAAUGUCUUUGUCAAGUAUAUGGAUUGGGAAUAUUUUCUCCAAUUCUGCAGUUUGUCUUUUCAUUCUUUCAGCGGUAUCUUUUGAAGAGCAGAAGUUAUUAAUUUUGAUAAAGUCCAAUUUGUCAACUUUUUCUUUUAUGGAUUUUGCUUUGGUGUCUAAGAAAUAUUUGCUCAACUCAAGGUCACACUUUAAAGUGUGUGUGUGUGUGUGUGUGUGUUUUUGUAGUAUAUGGUGCAAGCUAUGAAUCAAAGUUCCUUUCUCUUUGUUUGCACAUGCAAUUGUACAACAUCAUUUUUUGAAAAGACUGUUUUUUCCAUGGAAUUGAAUUCCGCCUUUGUUGAAAAUCAGUCAUAUACAUAUGAGUGAGUGUAUUUAUAUAUCUCUCUUCUGUUUAAUUGAUCUAUUUGUUUAUUUUGACACCAAUAGCACCAUUUCCUGAUUACUGUAGCUUUAUGAUAAGUCUUAAAUCAGGUUGUGUUAGAUGUAUAUAUUUUUUUCUUUUGCAAAGUAAGUUGUUUUGGCUAUCAUAGGUCCAUUGCAUUUCCAUGCAAAUUUUAGAAUUACUUCUCAAUUCUGACCAAAAUAUCCUGCUGUGAUUUUGAUUCAGAUUGUGUCGAAUCUAUAGAUCAGUUUAGGGAGAAUUUACAUCUUAACAAAUAUUGUGUCUUCCAAUCCACAAAUACAGUAUAGCUCUUCAUUUACUUAAAUGUUUAAAAUUUUCCUUCAGCAAUGUUUUACAGGUUUCAGUGUACUUUUGUCAGAUUCAUCCAUAAAUAUUAAGUAUUGGAAUACUACUAGUAAUCACACUGCCUUUUAAAAUUCCAGUUUCUGUUUUUUAUUACUAAAUCAUAGAAAUCCAAUUGAUUUUUGUUGGUUUAGUUGAAUCUUUCAAGCUUUCUAGGCUUACUGAUUAGCUUUAGUGGCUUUUUUGUGGAUUCUAUCAGGUUUUCUAUUUAGACAACCAUGGUGUUGUUGAAUAAAGACAGUUUUAAAUUU
Long non-coding RNA from Homo sapiens (human), 10098 nucleotides. RefSeq lists it as uncharacterized. The record is from RefSeq and is a predicted model, not a curated record. The transcript has 2 exons. Lineage: Eukaryota; Metazoa; Chordata; Mammalia; Primates; Hominidae.